GUGGGGAAUAUUGGACAAUGGCCGGAAGGCUGAUCCAGCCAUGCCGCGUGAAGGAUAAGGUCCUAUGGAUUGUAAACUUCUUUUGAGAGGGAGCAAUAAGGUGUACGCGUACACCGAUGAGAGUACCUUUCGAAUAAGCAUCGGCUAACUCCGUGCCAGCAGCCGCGGUAAUACGGAGGAUGCGAGCGUUAUCCGGAUUUAUUGGGUUUAAAGGGUGCGUAGGCGGUUUAUCAAGUCAGCGGUGAAACGCAAGGGCUUAACCCUUGACCUGCCGUUGAAACUGGUGGACUGGAAUGCGGAUGCUGUGGGAGGAAUGUGUGGUGUAGCGGUGAAAUGCAUAGAUAUCACACAGAACACCGAUUGCGAAGGCAUCUCACAAAUCCGUGAUUGACGCUGAGGCACGAAAGUGUGGGGAUCAAACAGG
RNAcentral lists this ribosomal RNA (424 nucleotides) under uncultured rumen bacterium. RNAcentral's name for it is "bacterial SSU rRNA". It matches the Rfam family "Bacterial small subunit ribosomal RNA", at positions 354 to 776 of the family's 1533-position model. The record is from RNAcentral.